AGAAUUACAAGUGCUAAAAUAAGUUUUAAAGUACCUGGAAGCCUCAAAUUUCUCUGUCGCAUGUUUUUCCAUAGCUCAAGAAACUGAAUAUUCAUGUUCAUGGGUAUGCUUACCUGCAAAAUGUCCAAAUAAGAGAAAAUUCCAGAUUUUAGAACAAAAAAAUAUGACUUUGGAGAAACAGACAUAACAUAAACAUAUAUCAGUUGACUAAAAGAAACCAAAUUCUACGACUAACUCUUAAACUUACGUCUCUGCAUAUUGUUAAGGAUGAGACAGAAGGAAACUUGUCCCACUGGAACUACAGCAAAACACAAAACCUGUGACCAGGAAAGCAGCACAUGACUGAAAGCUUAUAUACCAUAGACAAAUCUCAUUUCACCAAAACUCCAACUUAAAACAAACAAAAAAUGCUGAAUGUACUUAGAAAUCCUAACCUGACCUUUGGCCUUGUGAUUUGCUUUGUCUUGACAGCUUCAAGACUAUGUUCAGUCAAUUCCUCAGUGUAUGACCCACACAAAACCCUGAAGCAGCGGUUCGAGAAUUGGCUUAAAACCCACAGCAAAUUAUAUGGAGGAAAGGAUGAGUGGAUACUACGGUUUGGGAUAUACCAGUCUAACGUCCAGUUGAUUGACUACAUCAACUCCCUCCACUUGCCCUUUAAGUUAACGGAUAACAGAUUCGCGGACAUGACCAAUUCAGAGUUUAAGGCCCAUUUUCUCGGCUUGAACACGUCUUCCUUGAGGACACAGAAGAAUCAGAGGCCGGUUUGUGACCCAGCAGGCGAUGUACCAGCUGCUGUGGACUGGAGGAAACAAGGUGCUGUGACUCCUAUUAGAAACCAAGGAAAAUGCGGUAUGAAACUAUGCUCUCACACAAUUCAUUUUAAAGUUGAAAGAUUUAGCAAACAUUUAUAACAACAACACUGAUAAACUAUGGUCAUGAGCAGGAGGUUGCUGGGCAUUCUCUGCAGUGGCAGCUAUCGAAGGAAUCAACAAGAUCAAAACAGGGAAUCUAGUGUCUCUCUCAGAACAACAACUGAUAGAUUGUGAUGUCGGUACUUACAACAAAGGGUGUAGCGGUGGACUAAUGGAAACAGCAUUUGAAUACAUAAAAACCAACGGUGGACUCGUCACCCAGACAGACUACCCAUACACAGGCAUAGAAGGUACCUGCGACCAAGAGAAAACCAAAAACAAGGUAGUAACGAUACAAGGAUUCAAUAAGGUAGCCCAGAACGAAGGGAGCCUACAAAGCGCUGCAGCUAAACAGCCAGUAUCAGUUGGCAUUGACGCUGGUGGAUUCAUCUUUCAGCUAUACAGCUCAGGUGUUUUCACAAGUUACUGUGGAACAAAUCUCAACCAUGGAGUGACUGUUGUAGGAUAUGGUGCAGAAGGAGAUCAAAAGUACUGGAUUGUAAAGAAUUCAUGGGGAACUGGCUGGGGUGAAGAAGGCUACAUACGUAUGGAGCGCGGUUUGAGUGACGUGACCACUGGCAAAUGUGGCAUUGCUAUGCUCGCAAGCUAUCCCUUGCAGUGAGAUUCCACAAAUGUCUUGUGCAAUAGCGCAGAGGCAGCUACAAUAAUUACACGAUUGUGAAAUAAAGUACUAGAGUUAAUUGAGAACCAGGAUUCCAAACAUCAAUUAUGCAUUAUGCAAUUAUAAGAUCAGAAACAUAUGUUUACUAUAGUACCUGGUUCUCCUUGAUACUUUCUCCUCGAAGCAUUCUAGCUUGAUAACUUUGCUUCUUAUAAGGGCUUAGCAUCGAGUAGGGUUUUAGCCAUAACUUGGUAAUUGAGAUGCUCGUAAGGCUUUCUGGGGAGGAAGAGAGCUCUGGCUUCACCUAUCUUCUCGAGGAUCGCUUGGGUUGCAAAGCUCGAGUAGGGAUUUGAGGCUUUUUAGCAGAGACUGCGUCACUCAAAUGAGAGAAGAAGACGAAAAGUUAUAAAAAGUUAAUAACAUAGGAGCAACAUCACUACUAUUUCGAUUUUUUUAGCCAAUCAGAAGGCU
Molecule: long non-coding RNA, 2007 nt
Filed under: Capsella grandiflora
Lineage: Eukaryota; Viridiplantae; Streptophyta; Magnoliopsida; Brassicales; Brassicaceae
Description: long non-coding RNA (CGRA_LNC000454)
Source: RNAcentral